Molecule: ribosomal RNA, 1475 nt
Filed under: uncultured bacterium
Lineage: Bacteria
Description: bacterial SSU rRNA
Rfam family: Bacterial small subunit ribosomal RNA
Source: RNAcentral
GAGAGUUUGAUCCUGGCUCAGGACGAACGCUGGCGGCACGCUUAACACAUGCAAGUCGAACGAGAGAAGAGGAGCUUGCUUUUCUGAUCUAGUGGCGGACGGGUGAGUAACACGUGAGCAAUCUGCCUUUCAGAGGGGGAUACCGAUUGGAAACGAUCGUUAAUACCGCAUAACAUAAUUGAACCGCAUGAUUUGAUUAUCAAAGAUUUAUCGCUGAAAGAUGAGCUCGCGUCUGAUUAGCUAGUUGGUAAGGUAACGGCUUACCAAGGCGACGAUCAGUAGCCGGACUGAGAGGUUGAUCGGCCACAUUGGGACUGAGACACGGCCCAGACUCCUACGGGAGGCAGCAGUGGGGAAUAUUGCACAAUGGAGGAAACUCUGAUGCAGCGAUGCCGCGUGAGGGAAGAAGGUUUUAGGAUUGUAAACCUCUGUCUUCAGGGACGAAAAAAGACGGUACCUGAGGAGGAAGCUCCGGCUAACUACGUGCCAGCAGCCGCGGUAAUACGUAGGGAGCGAGCGUUGUCCGGAAUUACUGGGUGUAAAGGGAGCGUAGGCGGGAUCGCAAGUCAGAUGUGAAAACUAUGGGCUUAACCCAUAAACUGCAUUUGAAGCUGUGGUUCUUGAGUGAAGUAGAGGUAAGCGGAAUUCCUAGUGUAGCGGUGAAAUGCGUAGAUAUUAGGAGGAACAUCAGUGGCGAAGGCGGCUUACUGGGCUUUAACUGACGCUGAGGCUCGAAAGCGUGGGGAGCAAACAGGAUUAGAUACCCUGGUAGUCCACGCCGUAAACGAUGAUUACUAGGUGUGGGGGGACUGACCCCUUCCGUGCCGCAGCAAACGCAAUAAGUAAUCCACCUGGGGAGUACGACCGCAAGGUUGAAACUCAAAGGAAUUGACGGGGGCCCGCACAAGCAGUGGAGUAUGUGGAUUAAUUCGAAGCAACGCGAAGAACCUUACCAGGUCUUGACAUCGUAUGCAUAGCUCAGAGAUGAGUGAAAUCUCUUCGGAGACAUAUAGACAGGUGGUGCAUGGUUGUCGUCAGCUCGUGUCGUGAGAUGUUGGGUUAAGUCCCGCAACGAGCGCAACCCUUACUGUUAGUUGCUACGCAAGAGCACUCUAGCAGGACUGCCGUUGACAAAACGGAGGAAGGUGGGGAUGACGUCAAAUCAUCAUGCCCCUUAUGACCUGGGCCUCACACGUACUACAAUGGCUGUAAACAGAGGGAUGCAAAGCCGCGAGGUGGAGCGAACCCCUAAAAGCAGUCUUAGUUCGGAUUGUAGGCUGCAACCCGCCUACAUGAAGUCGGAAUUGCUAGUAAUCGCAGAUCAGCAUGCUGCGGUGAAUACGUUCCCGGGCCUUGUACACACCGCCCGUCACGCCAUGGGAGUCGGUAACACCCGAAGCCUGUAGUCUAACCGCAAGGAGGACGCAGUCGAAGGUGGGAUUGAUGACUGGGGUGAAGUCGUAACAAGGUAGCCG